RNAcentral lists this ribosomal RNA (406 nucleotides) under uncultured bacterium. RNAcentral describes it as "partial 16S ribosomal RNA". It matches the Rfam family "Bacterial small subunit ribosomal RNA", at positions 30 to 526 of the family's 1533-position model. The record is from RNAcentral.
AUUGAACGCUGGCGGCAGGCCUAACACAUGCAAGUCGAACGAGUGGCGGACGGGUGAGGAAUACAUCGGAAUCUGCGCUGUCGUGGGGGAUAACGUAUGGAAACUUUCGCUAAUACCGCAUACGAUUGAAUGAGCCGAUGUCGGAUUAGCUAGUGGGGGGGGUAAAGGCCCACCAAGGCGACGAUCCGUAGCUGGUCUGAGAGGAUGAUCAGCCACACUGGAACGGAGACACGGUCCAGACUCCUACGGGAGGCAGAAGUGGGGAAUAUUGCACAAUGGGCGCAAGCCUGAUCCAGCCAUGCCGCGUGUGUGAAGAAGGCCUUCGGGUUGUAAAGCCCUUUUGUUGGGAAAGCGGUACCCAAAGAAUAAGCACCGGCUAACUUCGUGCCAGCCGCCGCGGUAAUAC